Molecule: non-coding RNA, 148 nt
Filed under: Nomascus leucogenys (northern white-cheeked gibbon)
Lineage: Eukaryota; Metazoa; Chordata; Mammalia; Primates; Hylobatidae
Source: Rfam by way of RNAcentral
GCCAGGCGUGGUGGCGCAUGCCUGUAAUCCCAGCUACUCGGGAGGCUGAGGCAGAAGAAUCGCUUGAAGCCGGGAGGUGGGGGCUGCAGUGAGCUGAUAUCGUACCACUGCACACCAGCCUGGGCAACACAGUGAGACUCUGUCUCCA